AACGAACGCUGGCGGCGCGCCUAAUACAUGCAAGUCGAGCGAGAAGGUGUAGCAAUACACUUGUAAAGCGGCGAACGGGUGAGGAAUGCAUGGGUAACCUACCCUCGAGUGGGGAAUAACUAGCCGAAAGGUUAGCUAAUACCGCAUACGUUUCCGGAACUUCGGUUUCGGAAAGAAAGCAAUACCGUGGGUAUUGCGCUCCUGGAUGGGCUCAUGUCCUAUCAGCUUGUUGGUGAGGGUAACGGCUCACCAAGGGCCUUCGACGGGUAGCUGGUCUGAGAGGACGAUCAGCCACACUGGCACUGCGACACGGGCCAGACUCCUACGGGAGGCAGCAGUAAGGAAUAUUGCGCAAUGGACGAAAGUCUGACGCAGCGACGCCG
Molecule: ribosomal RNA, 383 nt
Filed under: uncultured bacterium
Lineage: Bacteria
Description: bacterial SSU rRNA
Rfam family: Bacterial small subunit ribosomal RNA
Source: RNAcentral